GGAAUCUUCCACAAUGGGCGCAAGCCUGAUGGAGCAACGCCGCGUGUGUGAUGAAGGCUUUCGGGUCGUAAAGCACUGUUGUAUGGGAAGAACAGCUAGAAUAGGAAAUGAUUUUAGUUUGACGGUACCAUACCAGAAAGGGACGGCUAAAUACGUGCCAG
Molecule: ribosomal RNA, 161 nt
Filed under: uncultured bacterium
Lineage: Bacteria
Description: partial 16S ribosomal RNA
Rfam family: Bacterial small subunit ribosomal RNA
Source: RNAcentral